AAUGAACGCUGGCGGCGUGCCUAACACAUGCAAGUCGAGCGAGAAAGUUCCUUCGGGAAUGAGUAAAGCGGCGGACGGUUGAGUAACACGUGAGAAUCUACCCUUUAGUGAAGAAUACCUUCGAGAAAUCGAAUUAAUACUGCAUAAGUCCCUUCGGGGAGAAAAGUGGCCUCUUUGCUACUGCUAAAGGAUGAGCUUGCGGACUAUCAGCUAGUUGGUGAGGUAAAGGCUCACCAAGGCUAUGACGGUUAGCCGGCCUGAGAGGGUGAACGGCCAGACUGGAACUUAGACACGGUCCAGACUCCUACGGGAGGCAGCAGUGAGGAAUAUUGCGCAAUGGGCGAAAGCCUGACGCAGCGACGCCGCGUGGAGGAUGAAGGUUUUCGGAUCGUAAACUCCUGUUAAGUGGGAAGAAAAGUCUGUGGUUAAUACCCGCAGAAAUGACGGUACCAUUAUAGAAGCACCGGCUAACUACGUGCCAGCAGCCGCGGUAAU
RNAcentral lists this ribosomal RNA (495 nucleotides) under uncultured bacterium. Its description in RNAcentral is "bacterial SSU rRNA". It matches the Rfam family "Bacterial small subunit ribosomal RNA", at positions 29 to 524 of the family's 1533-position model. The record is from RNAcentral.